This 404-nucleotide ribosomal RNA is filed under the name uncultured bacterium. Its description in RNAcentral is "partial 16S ribosomal RNA". It matches the Rfam family "Bacterial small subunit ribosomal RNA", at positions 28 to 526 of the family's 1533-position model. The record is from RNAcentral.
GACGAACGCUGGCGGCGUGCUUAACACAUGCAAGUCGAGCGGAGCGGCGAACGGGCGAGUAACGCGUGAGUAACUGCCCCCCUCUCUGGCAUAACAGUUGGAAACGGCUGCUAAUACCGGAUAGUGGGGGAUGACUCGCGUCCUAUCAUUUUGUUGGUGGGGUAGUGGCCUACCAAGGCGACGGCGGGUAGCCGGCCUGAGAGGGCGACCGGCCACAUUGGUCUGAGUUCCGGACCAAACUCCUACUGGCGGCAGCAGUGGGGAAUCUUGCCCAAUGGGGGAAACCCUGAUGCAGCGAUCCGCGUGCGGGAUGACUGCCUUCGUGUUGUGAACCGCUUUCAUCCAUGACGCGGUAGUGGCAGAAGAAGCACCGGCUAACUACGUGCCAGCAGCCGCGGUAAUAC